GCUGGGGCUCAGUGGUAGAGCACUCGCCUGGCUUGUGUGUGUGAGAGGCCCUGGGUUCGAUCCUCAGCACCGCA
Molecule: transfer RNA, 74 nt
Filed under: Marmota monax (woodchuck)
Lineage: Eukaryota; Metazoa; Chordata; Mammalia; Rodentia; Sciuridae
Description: tRNA.Ala
Source: RNAcentral